This 555-nucleotide non-coding RNA is filed under the name Mus musculus (house mouse). RNAcentral describes it as "Eukaryotic large subunit ribosomal RNA". It matches the Rfam family "Eukaryotic large subunit ribosomal RNA", at positions 1 to 619 of the family's 3401-position model. Lineage: Eukaryota; Metazoa; Chordata; Mammalia; Rodentia; Muridae. The record is from Rfam by way of RNAcentral.
CAGUGAAGCAUCUCUCCAGCCCCUGGAAAUAGAAAUUCUUAAAAACUCAAGAUACGCGGGAAAUGUGGCGUACAGAAGACCCAGGGGAGCCCAAGUCCUUCUGAUCGAGGCCCAGCCCGUGGACGGUGUGAGGCUGGUAGCGCCGGGAUCAGGUCUUCCCAGAGUUGGGUUGCUUGGGAAUGCAGCCCAAAGCAGGUGGUAAACUCCAUCUAAGGCUAAAUACCGGCACGAGACUGAUAAUAAGGGAAAGUUGAAAAGAACUUUAAAGAGAGAGUUCAAGAGGGCGUGAAACCGUUAAGAGGUUUGGGUGGGGUCCACGCAGUUCAACCGGAGGAAAACAACAACAACAACAACCUCAAGAUAUAGAACCUGUUCAUCAAGGCUGGAAAUUGUCGAUCCACGUGAGGAACCUCAACCUCUAAGUAUGAAACCUAUAGUUCUAUAUUCAGCUUGAACUUUCUAAGUACUGUUCUUGCUCUUUUGGCAUAUAAUAUGGUCUUCCACAUAACCCUCUAUAUAGGCUUGGGGGCUUUGUCCUCUGAAUAUGAAAUCUUA